RNAcentral lists this long non-coding RNA (546 nucleotides) under Dermacentor andersoni. RNAcentral's name for it is "uncharacterized LOC126527320". Lineage: Eukaryota; Metazoa; Arthropoda; Arachnida; Ixodida; Ixodidae. The record is from RNAcentral.
GUGAGCCUGUUAACUUUGGUCCGCCUUUUGCGAAAGCAAGUUCACUGGUAAGGAUGACACUGUUAUCGAUAAGCUUCGUUGCUCUGUAUCUAGCAAUACUCACGAUCCAAACAACGGCCAACGACGACUGGCACCAAAGGCGUGUGCAAAGCCCCAUAUUCAACGGAAUCGCCGAAACACGGAAGAAAUAUCGGAAAAGAGGCGUAGGACAGGCUUGCAAGAACAGCGACGAAUGCUACGCAUGGCUCUGCUGCAGGCAACGUGGAGGAGUAAAAACUUGCCAGGCGCUAUCUAGAUUCGGCCAGAAAUGUACAAAUGAUCAACUGAAAGGCGGAUCCUACUUGGGUCACUGCCCUUGCGACAGGAGAGCUGGUCAAUGCUACGUCUUUAGGGGCCGGAGGUUCGGCGAAUGUUCGUAUGCCAAGCGACGCUGACGUGGCAAACAUAAUAACCUUAACCAUAUAUUGUACACUGCCGCGUAUCGACUCACUGACCUGCGAAGCGCCAUUUCUUUCACACAAACAAUAAAGAGACUUUUUUUUUAUA